Oreochromis aureus is the source of this 328-nucleotide long non-coding RNA. Lineage: Eukaryota; Metazoa; Chordata; Actinopteri; Cichliformes; Cichlidae. The record is from Ensembl.
GAAGAAGUUAUUCAAGAGUUAUUCAAACGCUUGUAUAAUACGGUUGUUAGCUGGGGAAAAGUCAGGUUGAUUCGAAGUUAGAGCUGUGUAGUCAUUUGUAGCUUCAGAUGUUUUCAAAAGUGAGAACAUGUCUGACUUCGGGUUUAGCCAGAUUGCCCAGUUGUGUAAAUUCAAGAGUAACAUCUGUGCUCUGCAAACAUCAGCAUCGCACCUUCAGUUCUGAGUCUGGUGUCAGGUGUGAACCUGCAUUUAUUUGUGAGGAGAAUGGGGUCCAGCGGUGGACCUGCCAGUCCUGGUGUUCUUUGGUAAACGUCGGUUGAGCUGCAAG